AAGCCCCACCAAAUAAAGAAAAUAUAGAGUUUAAAAGAAACAAGCUAUUUGAAAAUACAUGCUAAUUUAUAAAAGGUCAAAUAAGUCUGUUUUAACACCACAAUGAGGAAAAUAUCAUCUGUAUAUAAAAUUAAUCCAUCAAAGCCUAUAAUAACUUGGAAAUAAUUGCAGGACAUCAGAGAGGACAGCAAAAACAGGAGCUGAUAACUUUGUGGAACCAGUACUCCAUGGGAUAUAGAGGAACCAAGAUGAAACUUGCCCAAAAUGAACAUGUAGAACAAGAUACGUGUCUCUACACUAAGCAAUCAGCUAAAUCAUAAGCCUGCUCUGUUUACCAUUUACACAGUUAGCUUACCAGUGUUACAGAAGUGUAUUUGAAUUCCUAAAUAAUUU
Molecule: long non-coding RNA, 393 nt
Filed under: Anas platyrhynchos (mallard)
Lineage: Eukaryota; Metazoa; Chordata; Aves; Anseriformes; Anatidae
Description: lncRNA (ENSAPLG00020013024.1)
Source: RNAcentral